This 429-nucleotide ribosomal RNA is filed under the name Chloroflexota bacterium. Its description in RNAcentral is "Chloroflexi bacterium partial 16S ribosomal RNA". It matches the Rfam family "Bacterial small subunit ribosomal RNA", at positions 355 to 776 of the family's 1533-position model. Lineage: Bacteria; Bacillati; Chloroflexota. The record is from RNAcentral.
UAGGGAAUCUUCGGCAAUGGACGAAAGUCUGACCGAGCAACGCCGCGUGAGUGAAGAAGGUUUUCGGAUCGUAAAACUCUGUUGUUAGAGAAGAACAAGGACGUUAGUAACUGAACGUCCCCUGACGGUAUCUAACCAGAAAGCCACGGCUAACUACGUGCCAGCAGCCGCGGUAAUACGUAGGUGGCAAGCGUUGUCCGGAUUUAUUGGGCGUAAAGCGAGCGCAGGCGGUUUCUUAAGUCUGAUGUGAAAGCCCCCGGCUCAACCGGGGAGGGUCAUUGGAAACUGGGAGACUUGAGUGCAGAAGAGGGGAGUGGAAUUCCCUGUGUAGCGGUGAAAUGCGUAGAUAUAUGGAGGAACACCAGUGGCGAAGGCGGCUCUCUGGUCUGUAACUGACGCUGAGGCUCGAAAGCGUGGGGAGCAAACAGG